This 253-nucleotide ribosomal RNA is filed under the name uncultured bacterium. Its description in RNAcentral is "partial 16S ribosomal RNA". It matches the Rfam family "Bacterial small subunit ribosomal RNA", at positions 524 to 776 of the family's 1533-position model. The record is from RNAcentral.
UACGAAGGGGGCUAGCGUUGCUCGGAAUCACUGGGCGUAAAGGGUGCGUAGGCGGGGUAUUAAGUCAGAGGUGAAAUCCUGGAGCUCAACUCCAGAACUGCCUUUGAUACUGAUAGUCUUGAGUAUGGGAGAGGUGAGUGGAACUGCGAGUGUAGAGGUGAAAUUCGUAGAUAUUCGCAAGAACACCAGUGGCGAAGGCGGCUCACUGGCCCGAUACUGACGCUGAGACACGAAAGCGUGGGGAGCAAACAGG